RNAcentral lists this ribosomal RNA (41 nucleotides) under Nephromopsis sphaerosporella. Its description in RNAcentral is "Ahtiana sphaerosporella partial 23S ribosomal RNA". RNAcentral also lists the same sequence under 14 other names. The record is from RNAcentral. Lineage: Eukaryota; Fungi; Ascomycota; Lecanoromycetes; Lecanorales; Parmeliaceae.
AUUGACCUCGGAUCAGGUAGGGAUACCCGCUGAACUUAAGC